GACGAACGCUGGCGGCGUGCCUAAUACAUGCAAGUUGAGCGCUGAAGGUUGGUACUUGUACCAACUGGAUGAGCAGCGAACGGGUGAGUAACGCGUGGGGAAUCUGCCUUUGAGCGGGGGACAACAUUUGGAAACGAAUGCUAAUACCGCAUAAAAACUUUAAACACAAGUUUUAAGUUUGAAAGAUGCAAUUGCAUCACUCAAAGAUGAUCCCGCGUUGUAUUAGCUAGUUGGUGAGGUAAAGGCUCACCAAGGCGAUGAUACAUAGCCGACCUGAGAGGGUGAUCGGCCACAUUGGGACUGAGACACGGCCCAAACUCCUACGGGAGGCAGCAGUAGGGAAUCUUCGGCAAUGGACGAAAGUCUGACCGAGCAACGCCGCGUGAGUGAAGAAGGUUUUCGGAUCGUAAAACUCUGUUGGUAGAGAAGAACGUUGGUGAGAGUGGAAAGCUCAUCAGGUGACGGUAACUACCCAGAAAGGGACGGCUAACUACGUG
Molecule: ribosomal RNA, 497 nt
Filed under: uncultured bacterium
Lineage: Bacteria
Description: partial 16S ribosomal RNA
Rfam family: Bacterial small subunit ribosomal RNA
Source: RNAcentral